UGCCUGUAAGACUGGGAUAACUCCGGGAAACCGGAGCUAAUACCGGAUAGUUCCUUGAACCGCAUGGUUCAAGGAUGAAAGACGGUUUCGGCUGUCACUUACAGAUGGACCCGCGGCGCAUUAGCUAGUUGGUGGGGUAAUGGCUCACCAAGGCGACGAUGCGUAGCCGACCUGAGAGGGUGAUCGGCCACACUGGGACUGAGACACGGCCCAGACUCCUACGGGAGGCAGCAGUAGGGAAUCUUCCGCAAUGGACGAAAGUCUGACGGAGCAACGCCGCGUGAGUGAUGAAGGUUUUCGGAUCGUAAAGCUCUGUUGUUAGGGAAGAACAAGUGCGAGAGUAACUGCUCGCACCUUGACGGUACCUAACCAGAAAGCCACGGCUAACUACGUGCCAGCAGCCGCGGUAAUACGUAGGUGGCAAGCGUUGUCCGGAAUUAUUGGGCGUAAAGGGCUCGCAGGCGGUUUCUUAAGUCUGAUGUGAAAGCCCCCGGCUCAACCGGGGAGGGUCAUUGGAAACUGGGAAACUUGAGUGCAGAAGAGGAGAGUGGAAUUCCACGUGUAGCGGUGAAAUGCGUAGAGAUGUGGAGGAACACCAGUGGCGAAGGCGACUCUCUGGUCUGUAACUGACGCUGAGGAGCGAAAGCGUGGGGAGCGAACAGGAUUAGAUACCCUGGUAGUCCACGCCGUAAACGAUGAGUGCUAAGUGUUAGGGGGUUUCCGCCCCUUAGUGCUGCAGCUAACGCAUUAAGCACUCCGCCUGGGGAGUACGGUCGCAAGACUGAAACUCAAAGGAAUUGACGGGGGCCCGCACAAGCGGUGGAGCAUGUGGUUUAAUUCGAAGCAACGCGAAGAACCUUACCAGGUCUUGACAUCCUCUGACAACCCUAGAGAUAGGGCUUUCCCUUCGGGGACAGAGUGACAGGUGGUGCAUGGUUGUCGUCAGCUCGUGUCGUGAGAUGUUGGGUUAAGUCCCGCAACGAGCGCAACCCUUGAUCUUAGUUGCCAGCAUUUAGUUGGGCACUCUAAGGUGACUGCCGGUGACAAACCGGAGGAAGGUGGGGAUGACGUCAAAUCAUCAUGCCCCUUAUGACCUGGGCUACACACGUGCUACAAUGGACAGAACAAAGGGCUGCGAGACCGCAAGGUUUAGCCAAUCCCAUAAAUCUGUUCUCAGUUCGGAUCGCAGUCUGCAACUAANUCNUAACAAGGUAGAAUUAANNCGUAUCACGGUAGAGCAUGACACGGUCACUGUAAGUCGUAACAAGGUAGCCGUAAGUCGUAACAAGGU
RNAcentral lists this ribosomal RNA (1291 nucleotides) under Bacillus sp. (in: firmicutes). RNAcentral's name for it is "bacterial SSU rRNA". It matches the Rfam family "Bacterial small subunit ribosomal RNA", at positions 127 to 1497 of the family's 1533-position model. Lineage: Bacteria; Bacillati; Bacillota; Bacilli; Caryophanales; Bacillaceae. The record is from RNAcentral.